Molecule: ribosomal RNA, 468 nt
Filed under: uncultured bacterium
Lineage: Bacteria
Description: partial 16S ribosomal RNA
Rfam family: Bacterial small subunit ribosomal RNA
Source: RNAcentral
GACGAACGCUGGCGGCGUGCUUAACACAUGCAAGUCGAACGGAAAGGCCCUGCUUUUGUGGGUUUCUCGAUUGGCGAACGGGUGAGUAACACGUGAGUAACCUGCCCUUGUCUUUGUGAUAACUUCAGGAAACUGGGGCUAAUACCGGAUAUGAUCUCCUGCUCCAUGGUGGGGGUUGGAAAGUUUCGGCGGUUGGGGAUGGACUCGCUGCUUAUCAGCUGGUUUGUGGGGUAGUUGCUUACCAAGGCUUUGACGGGUAGCCGGCCUGGGAGGGUGACCAGGGACCAUGGGACUGAGAUACGGACCAGUCGCCAACGGGAGGCAGCAGUGGGGAAUCUUGCACAAUGGGCGGACGCCUGAUGCAGAAACGCCGCGUGCGGGAUGACGGCUUUCGGGUUGUAAACCGAUUUCGCAUGUGACGAAGAGUGAGUGACGGUAAUGAGUAAAGAAGCAACGGCUAACUACGUG